This 278-nucleotide ribosomal RNA is filed under the name uncultured bacterium. RNAcentral describes it as "partial 16S ribosomal RNA". It matches the Rfam family "Bacterial small subunit ribosomal RNA", at positions 1065 to 1342 of the family's 1533-position model. The record is from RNAcentral.
UUGUGAAAUGUUGGGUUAAGUCCCGCAACGAGCGCAACCCUUUUCCUUAGUUUCCAGCAGGUUAGGUUGGGAACUCUAAGGAGACUGCCGGUGACAAACCGGAGGAAGGUGGGGAUGACGUCAAGUCAUCAUGGCCCUUACGAGCAGGGCUACACACGUGCUACAAUGGCGUAUACAAAGGGUAGCCAACCUGCGAGGGGGAGCAAAUCCCAAAAACCCGUUCUAAGUCCGGAUUGGAGUCUGCAACUCGACUCCAUGAAGUCGGAAUCGCUAGUAAU